Molecule: long non-coding RNA, 1995 nt
Organism: Homo sapiens (human)
Lineage: Eukaryota; Metazoa; Chordata; Mammalia; Primates; Hominidae
Source: Ensembl
CACUUUCCUGCGAGUCGCUCUCCGAAGUGUCGCUGUCCACCGGCUCCUCGUCCGGGGUGUCUCUCACAGCCAGCAGGGCCACUAAGUCGGGGACACCAUUUUUGUCUUCUUUGGUGUUCAAGCGGAUGGAUUCGGCCCCAGCUGGCUCCUUCUCUGCCUCUUCUUUCUUCGAUUUGUCGGUGACGGUGACCAGAGCCAAGAACUCGCGGGGACCGUCUUCUUCCCCCUCGGAGUUGCAGGGCGCCCACUGCCUAACCAGCUCCCUGGCAGCGGCCUGCAGCGUGGCGUACAGCGCGCUCUGGUCCUCUUCUCCGCUCAGGUCGCCCUGGUCGAUCUCCUCGAUCACGAUGCCCAGGCUCUCGUCGGAAGAGUCCUCGGCCUCACUCCUCGCGGGAGCAGACGGCCGUCCUCCUCGGCUUCUCUUCUUGCCCUUCUGGGUCAACCUGUUGCGUCUGGUUCUGUUUCUGCGACCCCGACGGCCCCUCCUUGGGUUCCUGGCUGCCCCAAGAAGCGAGCCAGCCUGCCCUGUUACCUCCCCAGAAUCCUGGGCCUGCGUCUCCGAAGCGGGAGGGGUGGGUGCCUCCCCGGGGGUCCCAGCCUCCGCGGCCUGCGUGGGCCCGUCAUCCAGCAGCAGGCGUCUCAUCUGCCUCAGGACCCUCGUGUCCUGCGCACGGUCCUUCCACAGAACCCUCCAGACCCCAUCCUUGCCUGGGAUCUCCCUGGGAAUGGCAGCGUGAUUGACGUCCUCCACAAACUCCACCAGGGCGGCCUGGGCCUUCUCGUUCAUCAAAGCCUUCAUGUGUCGCAACCUGAACGUGCCCAGGGGCAGGAGGGUCGGCUGCAGGACGGCUUCGACGUCUGCCUGCUCCAGGCCCUCCGGGAUGCCGGUGACCAGCAGGGCCCUGUGCGCGUCCACGUCCAGGCUCCGGCACCAGUCCUGCAAAAGGCUCAUGGCCAUGGUGCAGCCCCCUUGGCGCUGAUCUUGGGGCAGCAGGGAGCCCGAGAUAGGGGUGGGCUGCAGCGCACGGUGUCAAUGCAACCCUAGAAAGCCACUUGCAGGGCUUAGAGUCCCGGUUCCGGUGAAUGUGGCAAGGCUGGAGUGGGGCUCGGGGCUCGGGGGCUCUAGCUGCCUGCUGGCCGGCUGGACGCAGUGACCUUCCCCCGGGACCCCUCUCCAGAGCUGUCUGAGGAUCCGCGGGGGGCUUACGUGUCUGCUUUCCAGGACAGCUCCCUCCCUCUCUCCCUGACACAGGCCUGAGUGACUCGGCACCGCAGCCAGGUGCAGGGGGGCGGCGCCGAGUGCACCUGGAGAGGCGUGGGAGGUAGCAGCCGCAGCUUGCCUGGCGCUCGCGCCGCGUCUGAGCGCGCACCCUGGGCCUGAAUCUCAGCAGUUCCGCUGCGACGCGGCUGCUCGCGCGUGCGCCUGCGCAGAGGGAGCCGCACACCCUCCCCUGUCCCCCGCCCAACCGUCUCCAUGGCAACGGUGCAGCCUUGAGCUGGGGUCUGCGUCGCUGUGGCCUGAGACGCUUUUCUUAAAGGUCCCGAUGACAAGGACUUGGGGCCUGGAAGCACCACUUUCAUUAACCAGCAAAAAACAAGGCCGAAACCACAGAGGGCCAGAAAUCACUCAAGGAUACCCGACCUCAUUCAGGGGAUAGAGGCCUCCUUCCAGAGGGUACCGGCAUCACUGGGGGUUACAAUUCCCCCUUCCAGGGGCCAGGUGGAAUUCAGGAUUAUAUAGGCCUAAAUCAAAGGGCACUGGCCUUGCAGCGUAGGACCAGGACUUACUCGGGAUACUGGCCUCAUUCACAGUAUAUGGGUCUCAGUAUCAAAUAGGGGGGCCCAGGCACCACCUGUGAGCAAGACACCAUUCAGGGUAUAUGGGCCUCACUUGCAGGGUACAGGCCCCACUCGAUGGGACCGGCCCUCACUCCCAUACACGUUCCUGUAUUCUGAACUAUGCAUGCACAAUAAAUCCUGUGGUUUUGCACACGC